UUUUUUUUUUUCCUUUUUAGGGCUGCAUCUGGCACCUCAGGCAUAUGGAAGUUUCCAGGCUAGGGGUCAAAUCAGAGCUGUAGCUGCCAGCUUAUGCCACAGCCACAGCAACACCAGAUCCAAGCCAUAUCUGCAGCCUACACCACAGUCCACAACCAUGCUAGAUCCUUAACCCACUGGGAGAGGCCAGGGACUGAACUGGCAUCCUCAUGGAUACUAAUUGGGUUUGUUACUGCUGAGUCACAAUGGGCACUUGAGCACUGCAGGUUUUGUCAAGGUCCCAAGGUUUGAAUGUGACAGUAGUAUUAUGAAUAUGGAAUAUUUAUCUUCUGCUGAGUAAGAAAUUGCCUUUAGUUUAGCAUUUUAAAACAAUACUCAUGUACUCUUCUGCAAUCUGGAGGGCAGGAAUCUAAGCGGGCUUGGCGGGGCUCUGCUCUGGAUAGGUAUCACAGGAUCAAAUCAAAGUAUCGGCCAGCUGGGCUCUUAUCUGAAGAUUCUUAUCUGAAGAAUCUGCUUCCAAGGGCAGGUUUGGCAGAACCCAAGUCCUUGCAGUCUUGGGACGGAGGUCCCUACCCCUUUGCUGACUGUCAGUCAACCAGCUCCUGCGGGCUGCCCACCCCCUCUCCAGUGACUCCUCUCCAUCUUCAAAGCAGUUCCUUCUCAAACUUCUAAUCUCUUGGAUCUCCUCUCUCCCACUGCCGCCCCCUCCCCUUUUUAUUGUGGGGCGCUGUGGCUUGCCGUGGGAUCUCAUUUCCCAGACCAGGCCACAGCAGGGUCCUACACACUCCACCACCUGGGAACUGCCCUUCCCUUCCUCCUGAUAUGAUGACAUCAGGCCCACAGUGAUAAUCUCCCGUUUUGGAGUAAGGUUACUUGGGACUUUGAAUUACAACUGCAAAAUUCCUCAGAUUAGCCCCUAGAUUAACAUUUGGUUAAAUAACCAGUGGAUGAACUGGAAUUUGGGGCCCUGGGGGAGAACGGGAUCUUUAGAAUUCUGCCUACCCCGAAGGUUAAGUCGGAACACAGAAGCUAGGGCAAUGGGUUAGUCAUCCAAAUGAACACAGACCCUGCCAAGAUAGUGACUGUCUUGGAAAGAAGAGAUGUACCGACAACCAGCUGUCAAUGUCUUUAAUAGAUAUGAAGGGAAGGAGGCAUGAACACAGAGAAAGACAGCACACUGUGGUUGGGGGCGCAGGAAGUGGUGGAGGUGUUGAGGCCAGAUGUAGAGCUAGACUGCCUUGAUUCAUAUAAAUUUCUUUAUAUAGUAGACAAAAAGACCAAAUAAAUAAUUCAUUUGGUUAU
This 1302-nucleotide long non-coding RNA is filed under the name Sus scrofa (pig). RNAcentral describes it as "lncRNA (ENSSSCG00050029244.1)". Lineage: Eukaryota; Metazoa; Chordata; Mammalia; Artiodactyla; Suidae. The record is from RNAcentral.